Molecule: ribosomal RNA, 321 nt
Filed under: Pangasianodon hypophthalmus (striped catfish)
Lineage: Eukaryota; Metazoa; Chordata; Actinopteri; Siluriformes; Pangasiidae
Description: partial large subunit ribosomal RNA
Rfam family: Bacterial large subunit ribosomal RNA
Source: RNAcentral
ACGAGAAGACCCUGUGGAGCUUAAGAUACAAGAUCAACUAUGUCAAGAACCCUAAAAGUUAAACUAAAUAGCAACUGAUCCUUAUCUUCGGUUGGGGCGACCGCGGGAGAAAAUAAAGCUCCCACGCGGACUGGGGUUAAUCCCCUAAAACCAAGAAAGACAUUUCUAAGUCACAGAAUAUUUGACCACAAAGAUCCGGCUUACAACUGCCGACCAACGGACCAAGUUACCCUAGGGAUAACAGCGCAAUCCCCUUCCAGAGUCCAUAUCGACAAGGGGGUUUACGACCUCGAUGUUGGAUCAGGACAUCCUAAUGGUGCA